CGAAAUGCGAUAAGUAAUGUGAAUUGCAGAAUUCCGUGAAUCAUCGAAUCUUUGAACGCACCUUGCGCUCCUUGGUAUUCCUUGGAGCAUGCCUGUUUGAGUAUCAUGAAAUCUUCAAAGUAAAUCUUUUGUUAACUCAAUUGGUUUCUACUUUGGUAUUGGAGGUCUUUGCAGCUUCACACCUGCUCCUCUUUGUUCAUUAGCUGGAUCUCAGUGUUAUGCUUGGUUCCACUCGGCGUGAUAAGUUAUCUAUCGCUGAGGACACUGUAAAAGGUGGCCAAGGUAAAUGCAGAUGAACCGCUUCUAAUAGUCCAUUGACUUGGACAAUACUUUUAUGAUCUGAUCUCAAAUCAGGUAGGACUACCCGCUGAACUUAAGC
RNAcentral lists this unclassified non-coding RNA (379 nucleotides) under plant metagenome. Its description in RNAcentral is "partial contains 5.8S ribosomal RNA, internal transcribed spacer 2, and large subunit ribosomal RNA". The stretch from base 1 to 106 matches the Rfam family "5.8S ribosomal RNA", at positions 49 to 154 of the family's 154-position model. The record is from RNAcentral.